AAUAGAUACCCCGGUAGUCCAUGCCGUAAACGUUGGGAACUAGAUGUGGGGACCAUUCCACGGUCUCCGUGUCGCAGCUAACGCAUUAAGUUCCCCGCCUGGGGAGUACGGCCGCAAGGCUAAAACUCAAAGGAAUUGACGGGGGCCCGCACAAGCGGCGGAGCAUGCGGAUUAAUUCGAUGCAACGCGAAGAACCUUACCAAGGCUUGACAUAGCCGAGAACGCUGCAGAGAUGUAGAACUCUUUGGACACUCGGUUACAGGUGGUGCAUGGUUGUCGUCAGCUCGUGUCGUGAGAUGUUGGGUUAAGUCCCGCAACGAGCGCAACCCUCGUCGUAUGUUGCCAGCACGUAAUGGUGGGAACUCAUAUGAGACUGCCGGGGUCAACUCGGAGGAAGGUGGGGAUGAGGUCAAAUCAUCAUGCCUCUUAUGUCUUGGGCUUCACGCAUGCUACAAUGGCCGGUACAAAGGGCUGCAAUACCGCGAGGUGGAGCGAAUCCCAAAAAGCCGGUCUCAGUUCGGAUUG
This 525-nucleotide ribosomal RNA is filed under the name uncultured bacterium. RNAcentral describes it as "bacterial SSU rRNA". It matches the Rfam family "Bacterial small subunit ribosomal RNA", at positions 777 to 1300 of the family's 1533-position model. The record is from RNAcentral.